This 545-nucleotide long non-coding RNA is filed under the name Mus musculus (house mouse). RNAcentral's name for it is "predicted gene 45494". The record is from RNAcentral. Lineage: Eukaryota; Metazoa; Chordata; Mammalia; Rodentia; Muridae.
CUGCCGGACCCGCGCGCAACGCCAAGGCCGCGAGGAAUCGGGACAACCGGCUUGAGGUCCAAAAGAUGGUAUUAGAUUCCAUGGAAUUGGAGUACAACUGGUUGUGAACAGCCACGUGGGUACAGGGAUUCGAACCUGAGCCUUCUUAGGAACCAGUACUUUUAGUGACCGGCCCUCUCCUCAGCCCCUUGUUGAAGUCAUGAGCUACAAAACAAGAACUGGUUUUAAUGAGUGUGAUGGCAUGCCUAAAUACACCAAGAAGGAAGAGGAGGAAGAGGAGGAAGAGGAGGAAGAGGAGGAGGAGAAGAAGGAGAAGGAGAAGGAGAAGGAGAAGGAGAAGAAGAAGAAGAAGAAGAAGAAGAAGAAGAAGAAGAAGAAGAAGAAGGCUGAUACCCCAGAUUGUGGGGCAAAUGAAAGGAUACCCACAAUUAGGUGGAUUGGUGCCCCCACAUCAAUGAUGUUUAACCAUAUAUCCUGGUAUCUGUAGGUAGCUACUUCUCACACCCUUCUUUAUUUAUUACACACUUAUUCUUUACUUUUUUUCC